RNAcentral lists this transfer RNA (72 nucleotides) under Marmota monax (woodchuck). Its description in RNAcentral is "tRNA.Thr". The record is from RNAcentral. Lineage: Eukaryota; Metazoa; Chordata; Mammalia; Rodentia; Sciuridae.
UGGGGUGUAGCUCAGUGGUAGAACACUUGCCUAGUAUGUGCAAGGGCCUACGUUCAAUCCCUAGAACCUCAG